UACGAAGGGGGCUAGCGUUGCUCGGAAUUACUGGGCGUAAAGCGCACGUAGGCGGUUCGUUAAGUCGGAUGUGAAAGCCCUCGGCUCAACUGAGGAAGUGCACCCGAAACUGGCGAGCUUGAGUACGAAAGAGGAUCGCGGAAUUCCCGGUGUAGAGGUGAAAUUCGUAGAUAUCGGGAGGAACACCGGUGGCGAAGGCGGCGAUCUGGGUCGAUACUGACGCUGAGGUGCGAAAGCGUGGGGAGCAAACAGG
RNAcentral lists this ribosomal RNA (253 nucleotides) under uncultured bacterium. RNAcentral's name for it is "partial 16S ribosomal RNA". It matches the Rfam family "Bacterial small subunit ribosomal RNA", at positions 524 to 776 of the family's 1533-position model. The record is from RNAcentral.